Non-coding RNA from Durio zibethinus, 226 nucleotides. The record is from RefSeq and is a predicted model, not a curated record. NCBI's taxonomy places the organism in Eukaryota, Viridiplantae, Streptophyta, Magnoliopsida, Malvales, Malvaceae.
CUUGAUUUUCCUUUACAGAUCCAUACAGCUUUUGAAGAUCCAUCUCAAGUAAGAGGCUGGUCCUUAAUUUUCCCUUCCUAAUGAUCUCUGGAGUUGGUGAUGUAAAACGUCCACAUACCUUAAUUUAGAAAAUCCAUUCCCAGUUAGAAUUUUCAAUUUCCAAGUUGAUCCAUCAACAAUUGUUUCCAUUUGUGACUGUAAUCCAUUAGAGCAAGUCUUAGAUUUU